UGCUGGAAUUCGCCCUUAGAGUUUGAUCCUGGCUCAGGAUGAACGCUAGCGGCAGGCCUAACACAUGCAAGGCGAGGGGUAACAGGAAAGCUUGCUUUUGCUGACGACCGGCGCACGGGUGCGUAACGCGUAUGCAACCUACCUCAUACUGGAGCAUAGCCCUUGGAAACGAGGAUUAAUACUCCAUGGUAUCAUGAAUUCGCAUGUUUUCAUGAUUAAAGAGUUUCGGUAUGAGAUGGGCAUGCGUCCCAUUAGCUAGUUGGUGAGGUAACGGCUCCCCAAGGCGACGAUGGGUAGGGGGCCUGAGAGGGUGGUCCCCCACACUGGUACUGAGACACGGCCCAGACUCCUACGGGAGGCAGCAGUGGGGAAUCUUGGACAAUGGGCGCAAGCCUGAUCCAGCCAUGCCGCGUGCGGGAAGAAGGCCU
Molecule: ribosomal RNA, 428 nt
Filed under: uncultured bacterium
Lineage: Bacteria
Description: partial 16S ribosomal RNA
Rfam family: Bacterial small subunit ribosomal RNA
Source: RNAcentral